Molecule: ribosomal RNA, 407 nt
Filed under: uncultured bacterium
Lineage: Bacteria
Description: partial 16S ribosomal RNA
Rfam family: Bacterial small subunit ribosomal RNA
Source: RNAcentral
AUUGAACGCUGGCGGCAGGCCUAACACAUGCAAGUCGAGCGGAGCGGCGGACGGGUGAGUAAUGCCUAGGAAUCUGCCUGGUAGCGGGGGAUAACGUCCGGAAACGGGCGCUAAUACCGCAUACUAUCAGAUGAGCCUAGGUCGGUUUAGCUAGUUGGUGGGGUAAAGGCCUACCAAGGCGCCGAUCCGUAACUGGGCUGAGAGGAUGAGCAGUCACGCUGGAACUGAGACACGGUCAUGCCUCCUACAGUGGGCGACAGUGGGGACUAUUGGACAAUGGGCGAAAGUCUGAUCCAGCCAUGCCGCGUGUGUGCAGAAGGUCUUAGGAUUGUAAAGCAAUUUAAGUUGGGAGGCGUUACCAACAGAAUAAGCACCGGCUAACUUCGUGCCAGCAGCCGCGGUAAUAC